RNAcentral lists this long non-coding RNA (1262 nucleotides) under Marmota monax (woodchuck). The record is from RNAcentral. Lineage: Eukaryota; Metazoa; Chordata; Mammalia; Rodentia; Sciuridae.
CGCCAAUGAGGAGCGUGCGCGCGGCUGGGGGUGCGUGUGUCUGUGAGUGUGCCUGUGCGCGCGCUUGUGGGGCGGCUCCGCUCUCCCUCCCGCUUCAGCGCUCAGGUGUGGGCACCCGGCCUCCAGCGGUGAGGGAGGGGUUCCUGCGACCUGGGGUUCCUGCGACCUGGAGUUCCUGGAGGCGAUUGGGCGAGUGUGCCUGGCGGGGGAGACUACCCCUGGAUAUUCCUAGGGAGGCACCUGAGAGGGUUGGGUCCAGCGGGGAGCAGGGAAGUUACUCAGGCCUGUGGCCUUCCUAAACUGCAUGCGGCUUGAGUUUGCUUGUAAUGAAAAUCGUGCUUCUUAGGAAAGCAUAGUUCUUCCAUCCCUGCAGAGGUUCUGAAUGGCAGAAGCCGCCCAGGACAUACUUUGCAGGGACUUCUUUCCGGAGCCAAGUGCUGUGCCCCUUCCUGUGAUUUCCUUCCAAAGACUACCUUUUGUCUUCUCGCCUUCUUUUUAUGAGUAAAACACAGGGUGGAAAUUGUAUGCUCCGUUUUUGAUGACUCUUGCUUGCUAAAUGGCCUCUGACUUUCACUUUUCUUUUGUCUUACUUUACCUGGCUAAUGGCUCUUGGGGAAGGGCAGUGGCGUCCCCAUUCACCCUCCUGGGGUGGCUGUGUUUGGUGCUCUGUGCGGGGCUCUUGCCUACACUUGCGCCCCUGAGACGCCAGCUGAGCUCAGCCCCAUUAUUCUGGACUCCGACAAUCAACAGGAACAACUAGGAGGGCGUGUUCCCGAGGGCCUGGGCCAAGAGCAUCACAAAUUUACCGCCAUUUCUCUCCAGUCCUCCUUUAGGACUUUUACUGUGGCUUCCGUGGCACCUGUGUUGAACAGUCCGGAAAAGGAGGCGGCCCUUGACCCGCGGCAGGGCCCUAGGGGCCUGAAGCCUGUGGGGUGUCAGCACUCCCUGGAAAAGGGGCCCUGGUCUUCAGGAACAGUACACUUCCAAUCCGCUGCCUACCAUGCUGAAGUUUCCUCCUUUUUCCUGCCUUUGUUGGAAAUAGUGACGGGGCCUCGAGUACGUGGGAGCUCAUCUUUGAUGUUUAUUUUAUUGCUUUCCACCAUUUGUGUAGAAGACGUACACAGUCCCCUGUCUUUAUUCAAAGAGUUUUAAAGGCAUUGAGAAUGGGGUGGGCAAAAUGACAGAGCCUUGGAGGGCUCUGUUAGUUUGUGCUUGGGAGAAUGAUGGGGUUUGGAGAUUGGAUGCAUGUUUAUUGAGGUGGG